Molecule: ribosomal RNA, 497 nt
Filed under: uncultured bacterium
Lineage: Bacteria
Description: partial 16S ribosomal RNA
Rfam family: Bacterial small subunit ribosomal RNA
Source: RNAcentral
GACGAACGCUGGCGGCGUGCCUAAUACAUGCAAGUUGAGCGAUGAAGAUUGGUUCUUGCACCAAUUUGAAGAGCAGCGAACGGGUGAGUAACGCGUGGGGAAUCUGCCUUUUAGCGGGGGACAACAUUUGGAAACGAAUGCUAAUACCGCAUAACAACUUUAAACAUAAGUUUUAAGUUUGAAAGAUGCAAUUGCAUCACUCAAAGAUGAUCCCGCGUUGUAUUAGCUAGUUGGUGAGGUAAAGGCUCACCAAGGCGAUGAUACAUAGCCGACCUGAGAGGGUGAACGGCAAAAUUGGGAAUGAGAAAAGGCCCAAAAGGCUAAGGGAGGCAGCAGUAGGGAAUCUUCGGCAAUGGACGAAAGUCUGACCGAGAAACGCCGCGUGAGUGAAGAAGGUUUUCGGAUCGUAAAACUCUGUUGGUAGAGAAGAACGUUGGUGAGAGUGGAAAGCUCAUAAAGUGACGGUAACUACCAUGAAAGGGACGGCUAACUACGUG